Molecule: small nuclear RNA, 306 nt
Filed under: Ursus maritimus (polar bear)
Lineage: Eukaryota; Metazoa; Chordata; Mammalia; Carnivora; Ursidae
Description: 7SK RNA (ENSUMAG00000021752.1)
Rfam family: 7SK RNA
About the family: 7SK was discovered as an abundant small nuclear RNA in the mid-70s but a possible function has only recently been suggested. Two independent studies have found that 7SK RNA binds the CDK9/cyclin T complex (known as elongation factor P-TEFb).
Source: RNAcentral
GAAUGUGAGGGAGAUCUGGCUGCGACAUCUGUGUCCCCAUUGAUCACCAGGGUUGAUUUGGCUGAUCUGACUGGCUAGGCGGGUGUCCCCUUCCUCCCUCACCGCUCCAUGUGUGUCCCUCCCAAAGCUGCGCGCUCGGUCGAAGAGGAAGACCUUCCCCGAUAGAGGAGGACCGAUCUUCGGUCAAGGGUAUACGAGUAGAUGCGCUCCCCUGCUAGAACCUCCAAACAAGCUCUCAAGAAAUAAAUUUUCAAGAAGGUGAAAGACCCAUAUAUGGAAAGCUAUGAGAUAUCAAUGAAAGAAAUU